Molecule: long non-coding RNA, 222 nt
Filed under: Elaeis guineensis (African oil palm)
Lineage: Eukaryota; Viridiplantae; Streptophyta; Magnoliopsida; Arecales; Arecaceae
Description: long non-coding RNA (EGUI_LNC081180)
Source: RNAcentral
UAGGUUGCUUGCAACUGCACAAAGAUGUCUGGCCUCUACAAAAAAAUUCAUGUGAAGACUAGCACAGAUUAGAGACUUGGAGGUGCUAGCCUGCAAGCAAUUUUGACGGUUGAUCUCUUUUUUUUUCUUCAAGCACCUUGGACACUCCAAAGGAUGAAAAAAUCUAGAGGUGGAAGAGAGGGGAAGGAGAAAAGCUUUGAAAAAAUAAAAACCAGCAAGGGG